UACGGGGGGUGCGAGCGUUGUCCGGAAUCACUGGGCUUAAGGCGUGUGUAGGUGGAUGGGUAAGUACCUUGUGAAAUCCCACGGCUCAACCGUGGAACUGCUUGGUAUACUGCCUGUCUUGAGGCACUCAGGGGCGAGCGGAACAGAUGGUGGAGCGGUGAAAUGCGUAGAUAUCAUCUGGAACGCCAAUGGUGAAGACAGCUCGCUGGGGGUGUACUGACACUGAGACACGAAAGCCAGGGGAGCAAACGGG
RNAcentral lists this ribosomal RNA (253 nucleotides) under uncultured bacterium. RNAcentral describes it as "partial 16S ribosomal RNA". It matches the Rfam family "Bacterial small subunit ribosomal RNA", at positions 524 to 776 of the family's 1533-position model. The record is from RNAcentral.